Molecule: ribosomal RNA, 875 nt
Filed under: uncultured archaeon
Lineage: Archaea
Description: bacterial SSU rRNA
Rfam family: Archaeal small subunit ribosomal RNA
Source: RNAcentral
CCGACUGCUAUUCGGGUAAGACUAAGCCAUGCAAGUCGAAUGGAACAGCUUGUUCCAUGGCGAACUGCUCAGUAACAAGUAAUCAACUUACCCUUCAGUGGAGAAUAACCUCGGGAAACUGAGGCUAAUACUUCAUAGUUGGAAAUUCCUGGAAAGGUUUUCCAUCGAAAGAUAUUUCUAAAUGCGGAAAAUUCGCUGAAGGAUAGGAUCGCUUUCGAUUACGGUAGUUGGUGAGGUAAUGGCUCACCAAGCCUAUGAUCGAUAAGGGCCGUGAGAGCGGUAGCCCUGAGAUGGAUACUGAGACAAUGAUCCAGGCCUUACGAGGCGCAGCAGGCGCGAAACCUUUACAAUGCACGAAAGUGUGAUAAGGUUACCCGGAGUGCUAAAAUUAAAUUUUAGCUGUUAUAGGUGUGUAAAUAACCCUAUGAGAAAGGAGAGGGCAAGGCUGGUGCCAGCCGCCGCGGUAAAACCAGCUCUUCAAGUGGUCGGGAAUAUUAUUGGGCUUAAAGUGUCCGUAGCCGGUUUGGCAAGUUCCUGGUUAAAUCUGGCAGCUUAACUGUCAGUCAGCUAGGAAUACUACUUUACUAGAGGGUGGGAAAGGUUUGAGGUACUCCAGGGGUAGCGGUGAAAUGCGAUAAUCCUUGGGGGACCACCAGUGGCGAAGGCGUCAGACUGGAACACGCCUGACGGUGAGGGACGAAAGCCAGGGGAGCGAACGGGAUCAGAUACCCCGGUAGUCCUGGCCGUAAACGAUGCGUGCUAGGUGUUGGUAGGGCUUUGAGCUGUAUCAGUGCCGUAGGGAAACUGUUAAGCGCGCCGCCUGGGAAGUACGCUCGCAAGGGUGAAACUUAAAGGAAUUGGCGGGGAAGCACCAC